This 256-nucleotide long non-coding RNA is filed under the name Lathyrus oleraceus (garden pea). RNAcentral's name for it is "Pisum sativum (pea) long non-coding RNA (PSAT_LNC034315)". Lineage: Eukaryota; Viridiplantae; Streptophyta; Magnoliopsida; Fabales; Fabaceae. The record is from RNAcentral.
CAUUUUCUAUGAGUAUGGAGGAGAAGUUAAUGUAAGGUGGUGUUUUAUUCAAUUUUCGCUAGUCAUUUUCGGAUAUGCAUCUCUGAAAAUAUCAUUGAGUUGUUCAUUUAACUAACUCAAUGAAUUAAAACACAAUAAUUAAGUGCAUGGAUUAUUUCGAAGAUACAUCUUCGAAUACACCCAAAUAUAAUACGAAGAGGCAUUUCCUGAUUAAAUAUUUUGCAAAACUAAGUGAGUCUCAAAAAAAAUACAUUUU